RNAcentral lists this long non-coding RNA (359 nucleotides) under Homo sapiens (human). RNAcentral describes it as "non-protein coding lnc-CASZ1-1:1". The record is from RNAcentral. Lineage: Eukaryota; Metazoa; Chordata; Mammalia; Primates; Hominidae.
CUGAUAUUGCAAUGUUUCUUUUCUUUUUAAAACAGAGCGGAGAGCCCAGAGCUUCGUAGAAACUACAAGUGGCAGCUCCGUGUGAGUGCCCACGCUAAGGCGGGCUGCCGAGCUGCCCUCCCGCUCCCGUCAGGCCACAGGCCCUCCAUGGGUGGCCAUGUGACAGUGCCUACUGCUCAUUACAGCCAGGGCAUUCAUCUGAGGACUCUGGCGUUCGUGUCACAUUCUUCUUGGUGCUUGUAUACAGUCAGUGAUUUGAAGGGGGCACCAGUUCAGAGGGAGAAGAACCGGGUCCCAAGAGGUGUUUUUGUUCUGUUCUGUUUAUUUAUGUAUUUAUUUGAGACAAAGUCUCGCUCUUU